UUGAAUUUGACGUCGUCAUGGUGAGAGAAACAAUGAAAAGUGAAAGUAGCAAUACAGAGUUAUAAAUAGAUAAGAUAAAUAUAGAAAAUUAAAGUUUGUAUACAAUGUAACUGAGUUUGUUUUACUAUUAUAUGAUACAUGAAAUUGUUCUAAAGGCUUGGCAUCUAAUAGGACGAACUUCCCAUGGUUCCUACCACUUCGCAAGGCUUCUCUUCCAACCUGGCCAUAGUUGGAGGUUACUACUUCCCGGCGCGUCGGCAACAAUAGGAAGAUUAUGAUCGCCGCUGUGGAUAAUAAAAUUGUCAAAAACUGUUCCUUUGUUAAUUAUUUGGUGACUAUAUAAUUUUUGGAUCGUCUGCAGUAGUUGGUCUGUAU
This 375-nucleotide long non-coding RNA is filed under the name Mytilus galloprovincialis (Mediterranean mussel). The record is from RNAcentral. Lineage: Eukaryota; Metazoa; Mollusca; Bivalvia; Mytilida; Mytilidae.